This 460-nucleotide ribosomal RNA is filed under the name uncultured bacterium. Its description in RNAcentral is "partial 16S ribosomal RNA". It matches the Rfam family "Bacterial small subunit ribosomal RNA", at positions 338 to 795 of the family's 1533-position model. The record is from RNAcentral.
CCUACGGGAGGCAGCAGUGAGGAAUAUUGGUCAAUGGACGCAAGUCUGAACCAGCCAUGCCGCGUGCAGGAUGACGGCUCUAUGAUUUGUAAACUGCUUUUGUACGAGGGUAAACCCCGAUACGUGUACCUUUUUGUAUGUACCGUACGAAUAAGCAUCGGCUAACUCCGUGCCAGCAGCCGCGGUAAUACGGAGGAUGCGAGCGUUAUCCGGAUUUAUUGGGUUUAAAGGGUGCGUAGGUGGUUUGAUAAGUUAGAGGUGAAAGGUCGGGGCUCAACCCCGAAAUUGCCUUUAAUACUGGUGGACUAGAGAAUAGUUGAGGUAGGCGGAAUGUAUGGUGUAGCGGUGAAAUGCUUAGAGAUCAUACAGAACACCGAUUGCGAAGGCAGCUUACCAAACUAUAUCUGACGUUGAGGCACGAAAGCGUGGGUAGCAAACAGGAUUAGAUACCCUAGUAGUC